Molecule: long non-coding RNA, 882 nt
Filed under: Homo sapiens (human)
Lineage: Eukaryota; Metazoa; Chordata; Mammalia; Primates; Hominidae
Description: HSALNT0223436
Source: RNAcentral
AUGGAGAAAUGAUUGAGCUUGAUCCUUGCCUUCUCUAGUAGCUCAGCUUCUAGCUGGGGAAUAAGAUAGAAACACAAAUAGCCCUAAUCCCAAGGAGAAAGAGACCUAAUGUUUCUUCAAGUGAUUUUCCCAAAACCAUCCUGUCUAUGGUACACAAACUCCUGGAACAAUGAGUCAGUGCUCUCUGGCAGUCAAUGGCUAAGAGCUCUAGUUGGGGCUCAACUCUACCUCCCUGCAUGACCUUGAACAAGCUUCCCUCUCUAGGAUGACAUCUUUGUGCAAACCAAAUUAGUAAUGAAAGAGCAGGGUCUGGGCUUAUAGGCAAGGAGGAGCUGAGAGAAAGCUCUUAAGAGAAGGAGUUUAAAAUGAGGGGCAGUUUUUUGGCAUUGGAAGUAAAUAUUAAUGCUAACAAUAAUCACCAGCUAUGCUUGAGGUACCUCCAAACCCAUUCCAUACAAUAUUUCAUUUGGUAAGUGUUUUUAACCCCAUUUUAAAAAUGGUGCCCUUGAAGCUCAAAGAGGAGACAUGAACUGCUUUGUGGGUGUUGCCGCAGGGAAAGUCAGCUCAUCGCCAGAAUUGCAAAGAAAAGCAAAAAAAGUGAAUUCUUUUUAAAAAAAAUUUAGUUACUUUCUUUCUCUUUUUUCCUUUUUAAAUUUAUUUAAAAUUUUUCCCUUUAUUUUUAUUUUUUGACUUUUUUAUUAUUUUAUUUUUAUACUAUAUUUUACGUGGUACGAUCCCUACUGAAAAAAAAAGCAAAUUCUCAUUUUUUGAGUCUAAAGUCUGGGGUCAAAGUCUAAUGAGGGGAUUUUAUGGGAUUUCUUUGGAGGAUAAUUGUAAUAACAAGCACUUUAAUCUUAGAUGCUGUGUUUAAAAAGGAAUAGC